Molecule: long non-coding RNA, 1695 nt
Filed under: Gallus gallus (chicken)
Lineage: Eukaryota; Metazoa; Chordata; Aves; Galliformes; Phasianidae
Source: RNAcentral
AGGCUGAGGAAUUUUUAGAGCAGCACGGGGGCAGAUAUGUCCCUACACAGUUUUUCUAGCUGAAUUGCUCUGUAAUCCACCCUCACAUCUGCUGGCCAAGUGGAAAGGAAUCCUGUUGAAAGGGGAGAGACAAGCAUGGAAAAAGAAGGAAGAAAAAAAAAAAAAAACAAUGAGCAGAAAUUGCAACUUUGCAGCACAUGGGCAGAACAAACAUGAGGACUGCAUCCUUCCCACAGUCACUGCUGCAGGAAAGGUGAGGAUGGGGAGCUGAGGACAGAUGGUUCUCUGCCCUGAAACAUCCCAAAGGGUGCUGCUGACCACUGCAGCCCUCCUCCCAGUCUCUUCAAGUCUUUGUGCUCCCAGUAGGAGCUGAACUGUUUUUCAGGACAUGCAGCAGCAUUGCUCAGGGUACUACAGAGCCAGCUGUGAAGAUGAAGGAUUGCUGCUGUGAUUCUGCUGCGUGGUGUGACCACACCGGUUAGUUCAGCUGAUCAAACGUGGAGGUGUGAUCUGCUGCCCUGGACAUCUCAAAUCUGAUUAGCAAAGCGUGACCCUAGAGCUGGGCAACAUGCACUGAAUCAAACAGUUUGGGACGGUUAAAAAUGGCCUUUCCUCUGAAUUAAAGGCUCACAGCAAUAUCUUAUUUUGUCUUUUUGUUUUUGGUUUUAUUUUUAUUUUCUUUUUCUUUUUCGCCCUAGAGAAAUACACCCCAAACAACAGCAACAACAACAAAAAUAAAGUCAGUUUUCAUUCAUCCUCCUCCUCUUUUUUUUUUUUUUUUUUUUUUUUUUUUUGGUAAAAGAAAAGAAAGAAGUUUUCUGAGGGUGAAAACUCAAUGGCUGGAUGUUUGGACCGAUACAAAUGAAAAAUGUCAUAAUAACAAAUUGCUCUUGUCUAAAGAUUGUUGAAUGAAAAUUGCUAUUUUUUUUAUUCAUGAAAAGAUCUGUAUGUGGGUAAAUAAUUAUAUAUAAUAGCUCCUAACAGCUGACUUCUACAAUGUAAGUGGCUCCCAGCAGCAGGGAAUGGCCCAGCCUAUGAAUGGAUCUCAUCCUGCCUUGGGCAACUCAGAUGCAGGACAGCUUAGGAUUCAAGACUUUUCCUCAUGAGGCUCUUCAGGCUCAUUUUCUCUGGGUGGUCUCCUCUGAGCUUGCUGAACCACACUUUGCUUUCAGGAAGGCUGCCAUCAUAUUCUUGGGCUCAGAAUGUUGUUGUCACACUUCUACAGGAGAGGCAUGCUGUGUCCUGGGACUGUGGUUGCCAUGCCUAGGGCUGUAUGGACAUGGACUCCCUCCUCAUCUUCUCCAAGUACUCCCCAUUGCAGUUAGGGUAUUUGUGCUGCUGUUGUUUCAUUUUCCCAAUGGAAUGGUCCCAAAAGAAGCCAGGCAAGGAAAAAAAUUGAGAUUUCCAGCUUAUGUAAGAUCAAAUAAUUUGAACAUGUAUGCAGGAAGGCUCAAGAACAUGUGUGGAGCCUGCAGGACUACCUGGAUAAAUGCCACAGUUUUGCAGUGGAGGGACCUGCACUUGGCCCAUGUCCACCCCUACAUGCAGGAUACUCAGCACAGAGGGCUUGGAUCCAAGCUCUGUGCCCACGUAGGGGCCAGUUGUGUUGAUGGGACAGCACAUCUUGUUUUCUCAAGGAACAGAGAUAUUGGGAUCACAGACCCCUGCCUACAACUUGCUUCACCCAGCCCUGAG